This 839-nucleotide ribosomal RNA is filed under the name Salmonella enterica subsp. enterica serovar Thompson. RNAcentral's name for it is "partial 23S ribosomal RNA". It matches the Rfam family "Bacterial large subunit ribosomal RNA", at positions 2094 to 2925 of the family's 2925-position model. The record is from RNAcentral. Lineage: Bacteria; Pseudomonadati; Pseudomonadota; Gammaproteobacteria; Enterobacterales; Enterobacteriaceae.
UGAACCUUUACUAUAGCUUGACACUGAACAUUGAGCCUUGAUGUGUAGGAUAGGUGGGAGGCUUUGAAGUGUGGACGCCAGUCUGCAUGGAGCCGACCUUGAAAUACCACCCUUUAAUGUUUGAUGUUCUAACGUGGACCCGUAAUCCGGGUUGCGGACAGUGUCUGGUGGGUAGUUUGACUGGGGCGGUCUCCUCCUAAAGAGUAACGGAGGAGCACGAAGGUUGGCUAAUCCUGGUCGGACAUCAGGAGGUUAGUGCAAUGGCAUAAGCCAGCUUGACUGCGAGCGUGACGGCGCGAGCAGGUGCGAAAGCAGGUCAUAGUGAUCCGGUGGUUCUGAAUGGAAGGGCCAUCGCUCAACGGAUAAAAGGUACUCCGGGGAUAACAGGCUGAUACCGCCCAAGAGUUCAUAUCGACGGCGGUGUUUGGCACCUCGAUGUCGGCUCAUCACAUCCUGGGGCUGAAGUAGGUCCCAAGGGUAUGGCUGUUCGCCAUUUAAAGUGGUACGCGAGCUGGGUUUAGAACGUCGUGAGACAGUUCGGUCCCUAUCUGCCGUGGGCGCUGGAGAACUGAGGGGGGCUGCUCCUAGUACGAGAGGACCGGAGUGGACGCAUCACUGGUGUUCGGGUUGUCAUGCCAAUGGCACUGCCCGGUAGCUAAAUGCGGAAGAGAUAAGUGCUGAAAGCAUCUAAGCACGAAACUUGCCCCGAGAUGAGUUCUCCCUGAGACUUAGAGUCUCCUGAAGGAACGUUGAAGACGACGACGUUGAUAGGCCGGGUGUGUAAGCGCAGCGAUGCGUUGAGCUAACCGGUACUAAUGAACCGUGAGGCUUAACCUUAC